This 74-nucleotide transfer RNA is filed under the name Crassvirales sp. RNAcentral's name for it is "tRNA-Ile". It matches the Rfam family "tRNA". Rfam says of the family: Transfer RNA (tRNA) molecules are approximately 80 nucleotides in length. The record is from RNAcentral. Lineage: Duplodnaviria; Heunggongvirae; Uroviricota; Caudoviricetes; Crassvirales.
AGGAGUAUAGUUCAGUUGGUUAGAGCAUUUGGCUUAUAUCCAAAUUGUCGGGGGUUCAAGUCCCUCUGCUCCUA